Molecule: non-coding RNA, 3133 nt
Organism: Anas platyrhynchos (mallard)
Lineage: Eukaryota; Metazoa; Chordata; Aves; Anseriformes; Anatidae
Source: RefSeq, a predicted model, not a curated record
UCAUGGCUGUGGUUAAAUCCACAGGAGGAGCUUAUAAAGCUUCAGAGGACACUUUUUCACUCAGGUCUUGCUCCUGUUCCAGAAGGAAGUGAUGAUGUACUUCUGUGGCUUCUGCUUUUACAGGCUAUGUGGCAAGACAACAAUAGCGGGAGACGCAGUCAGAUCCGUGUGGUUCAUCUGCAUGUAUGCUCUUAGCACACCGUCUUCUGACAUCAGUGGUCAUCUCCAUGCUGUGUACUAUUGCAAAAGCAGGAUGGCUUAGGCAUGAAUUAUACUGGCAGAUGUAACUCACAGGAAGAUUUUUUGAAAACUUCUCUCAAAGUGGGAAGGGAAAUGGUAGGCUAAUCUCUGCUACUUAACAUGCACCUAUUGCUGCAGUAGUUGAGUGCAACAUCAACCUCUGGACAUGUUAAGCAUGACCCUUGAAUCCCUCAGUGGCACAAGCUGCUUCAAAGAUCAGAAAAAAGCUGAAACAGCAGUCUCUGCCACUAGUCCCAGUUCCAGAAUGAGUACCAUUAGUGGGGAUAUGUUUUGCAUCAUUUGAAGUACAAAGGCAUAAGUUGCUCUGCUUUUUGCUCACCUGGAGUAUGCUGGGCUGUCUGAGGCCCAGAUGUUUCCUCUGCAUGGCCUCCUGCUACAGCUGUGUGUUCAGACUCUUAAUCCAGUCCAAAAAGCUUGCUCAUAAUUUUUUAUUGGAUUUAGGAGCCUUAUUCAAUAUCUGUUCUAGUCAAGUUUUGGUUCUGGAAAAAAUAAAUGGCAAUGAUGAACUUCAUUCCCUUUUCCUAAAAGACUUGCUCUUCAGAUCUUUGUAAGUGGUGCACAUGUGGCCUGGGAGAAGUGGUCUACGUGGGCUUGUGGUUCUCUCCUCCCUUUCACUCACACUGCACAGUUGUGUGAUUAAAAUGCUUUAAUUUUAUAAUGUCAAACUGUAAGACGGACUCCUGUUCUCUGGCAAUAGCAAAGUGUUGGAUGAUUUGACUUCCGAGCAGGGUGGAUUUUUUGCCCUUCAAGUAUCACCCUGCAUAUGACAUCACUCUUUUUAGUGUCACUUGAUGUUUGUCUUCUCCUACACACAAAGCAGCAGAGUGCUAAGGUCUUUCACCUGCCUGGCCUUGGAAGCUGGAGUGCAGUGAGCAGUGUUCUCUUCCCAGAGGUCCAGUACAGACAGAAGAAUGGGAAAGAUCCAGUUAAAAAUGAGAUCAAGGGUUGGUGGAGAGCAAAGAGCUUUGUGGAGCUGCUGAGAGGACUUCUUCUGUAUUUGCAAAUUGGCAAUUUCUCAUCAGUCUCUGGUGAGGACAGUGCUGGGACCCCCCCUGUCAGGCAGGAGGGAUAUGUGCUGGAGCAACUGUCCUGAGUGAUUUAGUAUGACUCUUUUCUUCCCAGUUUGUUUUUUGGUUGUUACUGAGCUGCAUUUAUUUUGAUUUAACUGUAAGAAUAGGGUUGAGUGCAAAAUAGAGCUGUUUAGUAAGGGAUGCAACAUGUGCUUUCUUUUUAAUGAAUUCCAAGUUAUCCAUAAAAUCAAAUCCUGUGGAAGAGCAAUUUUGGAGUGGGAAAUUUUAACAUUGUGUUAUUUCCACUGUAAUAGAAUAUUAACAACGUACCUUUGGGGGGGGGGGGGGGGGAGAUUGAGACGCUUCCUCUGGAAAUGUUAAUAUAGAGUUUUAUGACGUUGCUAUAAGACUUUGGUCUUGAUUGCUUCAAAAUAAAAAUUUGGCAAGGUUUUACUUUGUAAGUUUCAUGUGACACUGCUGGAUUGUGAUUAUUUUUUUCAACCAGCUUCCUAUAUUAUGUCUCUUUCCUUAUAUCAGUAUCUAGAAAAAAAGUCAGAUUCAUUAGAAGGUAAAAUUUUGGGGUAUUUGCAUACAAAUAAAAUCUUGAACUAAGUUCUCUUUGUAGAGUGCAUUUAAAUAUUUCUCUGCUGUGAAGUCAGCAGACAAUCUAAUAGAUUUGCUCUUCAAUGUUUAAAUAACAUCUUCCUGAACAUUAAUGCAACUGCUCCAAAGACUGCAUGGUAUCCCCUGAAGAGUUACGGUGGUGACUGCAUGUUUCUUCAUGCUAAUCUAUGAAUAUGAGAAGGUGGUACUAAGUUAAGAGAAGCUCAUUUUCCUUGUGUAUAGGCUAUGACAUCUCCAAGGUUGUUAGCUGAAUGCAAAUACUUUGCAUAGCAGAUGGCCUGAAACAGGCACUUAUGUGCAGAGGGUUUUUGCAGCAGUUACAUGCAUCCUGUCUACCAGAAUAGCUUACCCAUGCACAGCUUCUGCUUGCUUGUAACUGUGGUGCAUGGUGACCAGAUUUGAGUAUCCAGGCUAGCUUGCUUAGAUGGUGAAUAAUUGUGACUUUUUAGAAGUAUUAAGCUAUUAACAGUAUUUUUCAAAAUGUUAUUGUUUGUCGGCUCUGUUGUAAUGUUCUGCAAGUUCAAGCUGGUAAUUAACUAUGUAAAUUCUAGCAACCUGAAUCAUACUGCUUUGCCUCAAAUGCCCUCCAUAUGCGGAAAGAUCAUGGCAGUUCACAAGGGAUUUAAGCAUAGACUUGGGCCAUGAAUUAAUCCUGUCUGGUUGAAAAAUGUAGGUAAUGAUGGAACACGCAUUGUUGACUUAAAAUUGCUUAUCAGGAAGGCUGUGCAGUAGUGGACAAGGUCAAAUCAAAGGGGGAAAAGACAUGUUGAUAUUGGUUGGAAAAAAAAGGCCUUUGUGAAUGACUAUAAGGUUUCCCCCCAAAAGGUCGUAUUAUAGCAUUUCUAUGUGGCUUUUUCACCCCCCAGUGGAUUACCCAUCCACUUUGUUUUACCGUGGUCCUCUACAACACUACCAAUGUGAGAACACAUUUCUUGUAUAAACUGUGGGAAUUUUGACAUUGAGUGUCAUUCCUGGUUAGAAGCUUGCUUUAUCUUUAUUUUUUUGAGAUGUCUGGGGAUAAAACUUAAAACUUCCACUGUAUCUGUAUCAUAAAUCAAACAUUUUGCUGGAGGAUAAUGAUGCCUUAAAAAAAAAAAAAACAACAUGGAAAAUUCAAUCAAUACAAUAUGUAAAAUAUAACAGCUUGUCUGCAGUUUAAUUUCUAAUUCAUUAGUUAGUAUUUGCAUAUUUAUUAUGGGGUACUGGUUUUGAGAACAAUAAAGAAUGAAUUCAUCUUU